GGUCUGCUAGCUCAGUUGGUUAGAGCGUCGUACUAAUAUUCUAGCGAUAGAAUCUGAGUAAUGCGAAGGUCAUGAGUUCGACCCUCAUGUGGACCA
Non-coding RNA from Xylariaceae sp. FL1019, 96 nucleotides. NCBI's taxonomy places the organism in Eukaryota, Fungi, Ascomycota, Sordariomycetes, Xylariales, Xylariaceae. The record is from the annotation of a GenBank genome assembly.